GCAAACAUACUGCCUUGUUUGGUUGCGGCUCUCUUGACCUUUCCUUUUUUUUUUGGCACAAAAGGAUGUCCCAGGCACCUGACAGAUUUACAUUAGCAAAACUAGAACCAUUACAGAAGACAUUAUACCAAAAUAAGACAAACUACGAUUAAUUUAAGUCUUCAUUCCAAUGCAUCCAUCGUAACAUCACCGUUGAUCCUGUCGGUUCGCGAAAGAAAGGACAAAUAAAGAACCUACGAACCAAUCGCACACUGGUGCUUUUGAAGACCGCUAGUCGUGUGUCUCGAGGCCGAUCCACAAAACUACUGCAAAAUUAAAAUACGGGUAAGACCACACUCUUCUACUCCAUCCAUCC
Molecule: long non-coding RNA, 355 nt
Filed under: Setaria viridis
Lineage: Eukaryota; Viridiplantae; Streptophyta; Magnoliopsida; Poales; Poaceae
Description: long non-coding RNA (SVIR_LNC001623)
Source: RNAcentral